AGAGUUUGAUCCUGGCUCAGGAUGAACGCUAGCGACAGGCUUAACACAUGCAAGUCGAGAGGGCAGCGGGAGGCGUAGCAAUAUGCCUGCCGGCGACCGGCGCACGGGUGAGUAACACGUAUGUAACCUGCCCUAUGCAGGGGGAUAACCCGGAGAAAUCCGGCCUAAUACCGCGUAACACCUUAGGGGAGCAUUCUCUUGAGGUUAAAGGAGAGAUCCGGCAUAGGAUGGACAUGCGUCGCAUUAGGUAGACGGCGGGGUAACGGCCCACCGUGCCGACGAUGCGUAGGGGUUCUGAGAGGAAGGCCCCCCACACUGGUACUGAGACACGGACCAGACUCCUACGGGAGGCAGCAGUGAGGAAUAUUGGUCAAUGGCCGAGAGGCUGAACCAGCCAAGUCGCGUGAGGGAAGAAUGUCCUAAGGAUUGUAAACCUCUUUUGUCGGGGAGCAAAAAGGCUCUGCGGAGUCGUAUUGAGAGUACCCGAAGAAAAAGCAUCGGCUAACUCCGUGCCAGCAGCCGCGGUAAUACGGAGGAUGCGAGCGUUAUCCGGAUUUAUUGGGUUUAAAGGGUGCGCAGGCGGCGUGUCAAGCAAGCGGUAAAAUAGCGGGGCUCAACCCCGUCGAGCCGUUUGAACUGGCGCGCUUGAGUUCAGGCGAGGUAGGCGGAAUUCGUGGUGUAGCGGUGAAAUGCAUAGAUAUCACGAAGAACUCCGAUUGCGAAGGCAGCUUACCAGUCUGCGACUGACGCUCAGGCACGAAAGUGUGGGUAUCGAACAGGAUUAGAUACCCUGGUAGUCCACACAGUAAACGAUGAGCGCUAGGUGUCCGGGUCGCAUGAGACUUGGGUGCCCGAGCGAAAGCGUUAAGCGCUCCACCUGGGGAGUACGCCGGCAACGGUGAAACUCAAAGGAAUUGACGGGGGCCCGCACAAGCGGAGGAACAUGUGGUUUAAUUCGAUGAUACGCGAGGAACCUUACCCGGGCUCAAACGACUCAGGAAUAUAUUGGAAACGAUGUAGCCAGCAAUGGUCUGAGUCGAGGUGCUGCAUGGUUGUCGUCAGCUCGUGCCGUGAGGUGUCGGCUUAAGUGCCAUAACGAGCGCAACCCCUACCGCCAGUUGCCAACGGGUAAAGCCGGGAACUCUGGCGGGACUGCCGGCGCAAGCUGCGAGGAAGGCGGGGAUGACGUCAAAUCAGCACGGCCCUUACGUCCGGGGCGACACACGUGUUACAAUGGCAGGUACAGCGGGAAGCCACCUGGUGACAGGGAGCGGAACCCGAAAGCCUGUCUCAGUUCGGAUUGGAGUCUGCAACUCGACUCCAUGAAGCUGGAUUCGCUAGUAAUCGCGCAUCAGCCAUGGCGCGGUGAAUACGUUCCCGGGCCUUGUACACACCGCCCGUCAAG
This 1405-nucleotide ribosomal RNA is filed under the name uncultured bacterium. RNAcentral's name for it is "partial 16S ribosomal RNA". It matches the Rfam family "Bacterial small subunit ribosomal RNA". The record is from RNAcentral.